This 372-nucleotide ribosomal RNA is filed under the name uncultured organism. RNAcentral's name for it is "partial 16S ribosomal RNA". It matches the Rfam family "Bacterial small subunit ribosomal RNA", at positions 527 to 896 of the family's 1533-position model. The record is from RNAcentral.
GUAGGUGGCAAGCGUUGUCCGGAAUUAUUGGGCGUAAAGCGCGCGCAGGCGGUCCUUUAAGUCUGAUGUGAAAGCCCACGGCUCAACCGUGGAGGGUCAUUGGAGACUGGGGGACUUGAGUACAGAAGAGGAAAGCGGAAUUCCAAGUGUAGCGGUGAAAUGCGUAGAGAUUUGGAGGAACACCAGUGGCGAAGGCGGCUUUCUGGUCUGUAACUGACGCUGAGGCGCGAAAGCGUGGGGAGCAAACAGGGAUUAGAUACCCUGGUAGUCCACGCCGUAAACGAUGAGUGCUAAGUGUUAGGGGGUUUCCCGCCCCUUAGUGCUGCAGCUAACGCAUUAAGCACUCCGCCUGGGGAUACGGCCGCAAGGCUG